GCUUAACACAUGCAAGUCGAACGGUGAAGCCCAGCUUGCUGGGUGGAUCAGUGGCGAACGGGUGAGUAACACGUGAGCAACCUGCCCCGGACUCUGGGAUAAGCGCUGGAAACGGCGUCUAAUACUGGAUACGAGACGCAACCGCAUGGUUAGUGUCUGGAAAGAUUUUUCGGUCUGGGAUGGGCUCGCGGCCUAUCAGCUUGUUGGUGAGGUAAUGGCUCACCAAGGCGUCGACGGGUAGCCGGCCUGAGAGGGUGACCGGCCACACUGGGACUGAGACACGGCCCAGACUCCUACGGGAGGCAGCAGUGGGGAAUAUUGCACAAUGGGCGGAAGCCUGAUGCAGCAACGCCGCGUGAGGGAUGACGGCCUUCGGGUUGUAAACCUCUUUUAGCAAGGAAGAAGCGAAAGUGACGGUACUUGCAGAAAAAGCGCCGGCUAACUACGUGCCAGCAGCCGCGGUAAUACGUAGGGCGCAAGCGUUAUCCGGAAUUAUUGGGCGUAAAGAGCUCGUAGGCGGUCUGUCGCGUCUGCUGUGAAA
Molecule: ribosomal RNA, 541 nt
Filed under: actinobacterium TH-N23
Lineage: Bacteria; Bacillati; Actinomycetota; Actinomycetes
Description: bacterial SSU rRNA
Rfam family: Bacterial small subunit ribosomal RNA
Source: RNAcentral